UGGAAGAGCCGUGUAUUAUCGA
This 22-nucleotide non-coding RNA is filed under the name Arabidopsis thaliana (thale cress). Lineage: Eukaryota; Viridiplantae; Streptophyta; Magnoliopsida; Brassicales; Brassicaceae. The record is from RNAcentral.